Molecule: ribosomal RNA, 1037 nt
Filed under: uncultured Sulfobacillus sp.
Lineage: Bacteria; Bacillati; Bacillota; Clostridia; Eubacteriales; Clostridiales Family XVII. Incertae Sedis
Description: bacterial SSU rRNA
Rfam family: Bacterial small subunit ribosomal RNA
Source: RNAcentral
AGAGUUUGAUCACUGGCUCAGGACGAACGCUGGCGGCGUGCUUAAUACAUGCAAGUCGAGCGGUCCCACGUCAGUGGGACAGCGGCGGACGGGUGAGGAACACGUGAGUAACCGGGCACGGAGUGGGGGAUAUCGGGCCGAAAGGCGCGGCAAUCCCGCAUAGCGUCCCCGGCGUGCCAACGCCGGGGGGAAAGGGAUCUUCGGAUCUCGCUCCGUGGGGGGCUCGCGGCCCAUUAGCUAGUUGGGGGGGUAAUGGCCUCCCAAGGCGACGAUGGGUAGCCGGCCUGAGAGGGUGAUCGGCCACACUGGGACUGAGACACGGCCCAGACUCCUACGGGAGGCAGCAGUAGGGAAUCUUCCACAAUGGGCGCAAGCCUGGUGGAGCAACGCCGCGUGAGUGAAGACGGCCUUCGGGUUGUAAAGCUCUGUCGGUUGGGACGAGGGCCCCGGAAUCUCCGGGGCGGGACGGUACCGAUCAAUGAAGCCCCUGCUAACUACGUGCCAGCAGCCGCGGUAAGACGUAGGGGGCAAGCGUUGUCCGGAAUUACUGGGCGUAAAGGGCGUGUAGGCGGUGCGGUACGUAGCGGUUUUAAGCCUCCGGCUCACCCGGAGGAGGGCGGCUAAACGGCAGCACUGGAGGGCAGGAGAGGUGCGCGGAAUUCCUGGUGGAGCGGUGAAAUGCGUAGAGAUCAGGAAGAACACCGGUGGCGAAGGCGGCGCACUGGCCUGGCCCUGACGCUGAGGCGCGACAGCGUGGGAGCAAACGGGAUUAGAUACCCCGGUAGUCCACGCCGUAAACGAUGGAUACUAGGUGUCGCGGGGGCCCACCUCGCGGUGCCGGAGCUAACGCACUAAGUAUCCCGCCUGGGGAGUACGGCCGCAAGGUUGAAACUCAAAGGAAUUGACGGGGGCCCGCACAAGCAGUGGAGCAUGUGGUUUAAUUCGACGCAACGCGCAGAACCUUACCAGGACUAGACGGGAUCGUGAGCGCCGCGAAAGCGGCGGGCCCUUCGGGGAGCGAUCGUCAGGUGCUGCAU